CCAGAGACCGAUAGCGCACAAGUAGAGUGAUCGAAAGAUGAAAAGCACUUUGGAAAGAGAGUUAAACAGUACGUGAAAUUGUUGAAAGGGAAGCGCUUGCAAUCAGACUUGCGCUUGGUGUUCAUCGGGGCCUCGUGCCCGUGUACUUCACCAAGCUCAGGCCAGCAUCAGUCUGGGUGGUUAGAUAAAGGCCUGGGGAAUGUGGCCCUCCUCGGGGGGUGUUAUAGCUCCAGGUGCAAUGUAGCCUGCCCGGACUGAGGACCGCGCUUCGGCUAGGAUGCUGG
This 284-nucleotide ribosomal RNA is filed under the name Ciborinia erythronii. RNAcentral describes it as "partial 28S ribosomal RNA". It matches the Rfam family "Eukaryotic large subunit ribosomal RNA", at positions 327 to 629 of the family's 3401-position model. The record is from RNAcentral. Lineage: Eukaryota; Fungi; Ascomycota; Leotiomycetes; Helotiales; Sclerotiniaceae.